CAGCAGCCGCGGGAAUACGUAGGGUGCAAGCGUUAAUCGGAAUUACUGGGCGUAAAGCGUGCGCAGGCGGUUUUGUAAGACAGAGGUGAAAUCCCCGGGCUCAACCUGGGAACUGCCUUUGUGACUGCAAGGCUAGAGUACGGCAGAGGGGGAUGGAAUUCCGCGUGUAGCAGUGAAAUGCGUAGAUAUGCGGAGGAACACCGAUGGCGAAGGCAAUCCCCUGAGCCUGUACUGACGCUCAUGCACGAAAGCGUGGGGAGCAAACAGGAUUAGAUACCCCCGUAGUCCCUGUCUCUUAUAC
RNAcentral lists this ribosomal RNA (301 nucleotides) under uncultured bacterium. RNAcentral's name for it is "partial 16S ribosomal RNA". It matches the Rfam family "Bacterial small subunit ribosomal RNA", at positions 509 to 807 of the family's 1533-position model. The record is from RNAcentral.